Molecule: long non-coding RNA, 655 nt
Organism: Phyllopteryx taeniolatus (common seadragon)
Lineage: Eukaryota; Metazoa; Chordata; Actinopteri; Syngnathiformes; Syngnathidae
Exons: 2
Source: RefSeq, a predicted model, not a curated record
UGUAUGCUGUUCUUCCUGGCUAACAUCUCGCCAGCUGCGUUUGGCCAACCCCCUCCCCCUUCCUUUUCCUUUGUCCUCAGGCGCUACCACAUGCGCGAGCGACUGCCGGGACCCGACGGCAGCGUUUUCGAUCGAAGAAGCCGGCCAUGCGGCUUCGAUCCGUUUUCCUUGCCUGUUGACGGAGCCCCAGUAAGCAAAUAGCAGCAUUCCGUACCGGUCACGCACGCAGCUGAGAGCAAGAGCUGGGCCCGCCACAAGUUCAAUAGGCAGGAAAGUUACAAGCGCACCCCGACGAAACAAAAACUUUCUUUUGGCACCUCUUUUUGUUUUAUUUUUGCGCUUCUUCUUCUUUAACCAAACCUGCUUUGUUUUCCUUCUGAGAUGCGAGGAGAAAGGCCAUCCCCAAAGACCAGCUGAUCUACGGUUUACUUCCACACAGGACUGGACCAUCCGCCAACAUCUCCCGGACUCACGGCUGUGGUGUCCUUGAGCAAGACACUGAUACCUCGAAAUGCUCCCCGGGGGCUUCAGCUGCCCCCUGCUCCAGUGUGUUCCACUAACUUGUGUAUGUGUUCACUGUGUUGGGUUAAAUGCAGAGAACACAUUUCAUGUGCAUGCAUGCAUGUUCAUGACAAUAAAAGGCGGUUCUAUUCUA